This 504-nucleotide ribosomal RNA is filed under the name uncultured bacterium. RNAcentral's name for it is "partial 16S ribosomal RNA". It matches the Rfam family "Bacterial small subunit ribosomal RNA", at positions 30 to 523 of the family's 1533-position model. The record is from RNAcentral.
AUUGAACGCUGGCGGCAUGCCUUACACAUGCAAGUCGAACGGCAGCAUGGAGAGCUUGCUCUCUGAUGGCGAGUGGCGAACGGGUGAGUAAUGCAUCGGAACGUACCGUGUAAUGGGGGAUAACGUAGCGAAAGUUACGCUAAUACCGCAUACGACCUGAGGGUGAAAGCAGGGGAUCGCAAGACCUUGCGUUAUACGAGCGGCCGAUGUCAGAUUAGGUAGUUGGUGGGGUAAAGGCUCACCAAGGCGACGAUCUGUAGCGGGUCUGAGAGGAUGAUCCGCCACACUGGGACUGAGACACGGCCCAGACUCCUACGGGAGGCAGCAGUGGGGAAUUUUGGACAAUGGGGGCAACCCUGAUCCAGCCAUGCCGCGUGAGUGAAGAAGGCCUUCGGGUUGUAAAGCUCUUUCGGCCGGGAAGAAAUCGCACAGGCUAAUACUCUGUGUGGAUGACGGUACCGGCACAAGAAGCACCGGCUAACUACGUGCCAGCCGCCGCCGUAA